RNAcentral lists this small RNA (414 nucleotides) under Pongo abelii (Sumatran orangutan). Its description in RNAcentral is "retained intron". Lineage: Eukaryota; Metazoa; Chordata; Mammalia; Primates; Hominidae. The record is from RNAcentral.
UUUUUGUUUAAGCAAGUAAAGACUCAAUUUUUCUGUUAUUAGCAUAAUGAAAUGGGUAGUAAAUCAUGUUUCCUCUUGGUCUUUGGCAGGGUCUGAGAGAGACUAAGCAUCCAUACACUUUUGUGUCAAAGGAGGGUUUUAGAGAAUUACUUUUGGUCAAAGGUGCUCCUGAAAAAGCUAUUCCUUUGCUACCUAGACUGAUUCCUGUGCUAAAGGCAGCUCUGGUCCAUUCAGAUGAUGAAGUGUUUGAAAGAGGAUUGAAUGCUCUAGUUCAGCUAAGUGUCGUUGUUGGUCCUUCUCUAAACGACCAUCUGAAGCAUCUGCUUACAAGCCUUUCCAAGAGAUUAAUGGACAAGAAAUUCAAAGAGCCAAUCACCAGCGCAUUACAAAAGCUAGAGCAACGUGGCGGAAGUG